UCUUGUUGUCCGUGAAGACCUGCUUCUGCAGUCGGAAUCUGUGUGUGCCGUUCUCACAGCCCUUCGGCUUCGGGGAGAGGAAAGCACGGCAGCAGGACGCUCUGGCCCCAGGGCCCUUGCACAUGGCAGCCGCGGCCCCGGCGGAGAGCAAGAGGAGACCCUGCCCUGGGGUUGCCACCUUGAGUGACUGGCGGUGAGAGGAGCCCUGCCCUGAGCAGAGGACGAGGCCCCACCCGGGAGAACUGGGCUGAACAGAACCAACCCUUCAUCGGUUGAGGAAGAGAAGAAAAGGGACCGUGGACUCUAGACCUCAGGCCGGACGCACCCGGGGGCCCCUGUUCACGAGCCAAGAGGACACACACUGUUCUCUGGGUGACUAAUGC
Mirounga angustirostris (Northern elephant seal) is the source of this 383-nucleotide long non-coding RNA. RefSeq lists it as uncharacterized. The transcript is spliced from 4 exons. The record is from RefSeq and is a predicted model, not a curated record. Lineage: Eukaryota; Metazoa; Chordata; Mammalia; Carnivora; Phocidae.